Molecule: long non-coding RNA, 90 nt
Organism: Lontra canadensis (Northern American river otter)
Lineage: Eukaryota; Metazoa; Chordata; Mammalia; Carnivora; Mustelidae
Exons: 3
Source: RefSeq, a predicted model, not a curated record
AAAAACGGGAUGAAAGGCAUUUAGGAGCUAUAAAAUGUUCAGAACUAUAAAAUGUUCUCCAUCGGUCUGACACCAGGGUCAUUCCCCAGG